This 277-nucleotide long non-coding RNA is filed under the name Salvia miltiorrhiza (redroot sage). Its description in RNAcentral is "long non-coding RNA (SMIL_LNC013504)". Lineage: Eukaryota; Viridiplantae; Streptophyta; Magnoliopsida; Lamiales; Lamiaceae. The record is from RNAcentral.
UUCUCGCCAAGACCAAUUUUUACACAUGGUCAAUUGUAUGUUGCGGUGUCAAGAGUACGAAGUCGAGGAGGACUUUGAUCACUUAUAUACAAUGUCUUAUUUUUAUUUUUACUUUUACUUAAAAUAUUAUUUAAGAAUGACGUUCGCCGUGCAACACACUGGUGGGUGUACAAGUUAGAAUUAUACAAUUGGACGAUAGGUAAUCAUAAAAUUUAAGUUAAAAUUGAAUCUAAAAUGACAUCGACGUGACCAAACUCUAAUCAAAACGAUGUCAUUU